Myotis davidii is the source of this 75-nucleotide non-coding RNA. NCBI's taxonomy places the organism in Eukaryota, Metazoa, Chordata, Mammalia, Chiroptera, Vespertilionidae. The record is from Rfam.
GGCAGUUCUUGGGUGAUGCACCCCAGAAUCAGGCUCCCUCCUCUCUGGUUCCAGUUGUGUUACCCAAGAACCGCU